AUUGAACGCUGGCGGCAGGCCUAACACAUGCAAGUCGAACGAGUGGCGGACGGGUGAGUAAUGUCUGGGAAACUGCCUGAUGGAGGGGGAUAACUACUGGAAACGGUAGCUAAUACCGCAUACCAUCAGAUGUGCCCAGAUGGGAUUAGCUGGUUGGUGGGGUAACGGCUCACCAAGGCGACGAUCCCUAGCUGGUCUGAGAGGAUGACCCGGCACACUGGAACUUGGACACGGUCCAAACCCCUACGGGAGGCAGGAGGGGGGAAUAUUGGAACAAUGGCGGAAGCCUUAUAGAGCCAUGCCGGGUGUAUGAAGAAGGCCUUCGGGGUGGAAAGGCCUUUUCGGGGAGAGGCCGUACCCCGAGAAGAAGCAACGGCUAACUCCGUGGCAGCAGGCGCGGUUAUUC
RNAcentral lists this ribosomal RNA (406 nucleotides) under uncultured bacterium. Its description in RNAcentral is "partial 16S ribosomal RNA". It matches the Rfam family "Bacterial small subunit ribosomal RNA", at positions 29 to 526 of the family's 1533-position model. The record is from RNAcentral.